CGGGGUUACGAAGUCGGAGUCUGGACCUCGGAAGGCAGGAAGGACGGAGCUACGUACAGAAUGGGUGGAACGCGCUUGUGUGUACUUAUAGAGCACGGAAUAAUGGCUUCAGAAUAAUAAUGGUUUCAGAAGUGGUUGAAGUAAUUUCCAUCUGAUGACUGAGCGCUCAGUAGAGUAAGCAUAUGGCAUCUAUAUGGCUAUUUGCGUGGAUACCGACCUUCAAUUUGACUGAUCAGGAAGGACAUGGAGUUACUACUGCAUGAAGUCCAAAGAAGGCUUGUGUGUGAGAGUGGAGGGGAGGCUUAAAAAGCUC
Pelodiscus sinensis (Chinese soft-shelled turtle) is the source of this 313-nucleotide non-coding RNA. Lineage: Eukaryota; Metazoa; Chordata; Testudines; Trionychidae. The record is from RefSeq and is a predicted model, not a curated record.